AAAAGCACAUACUUUUCGAGUAAGCACGUGAAUUUAUAAACAUUUCUACAUGAAUCACUCCUGGCAGAGGUGCUUACAGCAAAAGCACACCCAAAAGCACGUACUUUUUCCAGUAAGCACUUGAAAUAACAAAAAAAUUGUGCAUGUUUAUGAUAAAAUCACUUCCAGCAGAAGUGCUUACAACAUAAGCAGACCCAACAGCACAUACUUUUCGAGUAAACACUUGAAUUAUUAAACAUUUCUACAUGUUCAUGAUAAAAGCACUUCUAGCAGAAGUGAUUGAUUAUACCUAAGCAGACCCAAACCAAUCCGAAAUUAUUAAAAAAAAAACAAAAUGCUUGAGGGGGUUUGUUUCUGACCUGAGCGCGUAAAUGAGAGAGCCGCCGGACAAAGCGACGGUGAAAGCUCCCCUCUCCUUCACAAACUUGGCCGACAGGUCGGCGGUGUACUUCGCCAGACGCACCGCCACUUCCUCCGCCGUCUGAAACUUCUCCACCUUCUUCUGACACUGACCAGCCAUCUCUGCUGCCGCCGAUGAUGCCGAUGAUGCGGAAAUUGGGUUCUUGAAAUUCAAGCGAACGGGUUUAAUCGAGAGGGAUAGAGAUCUUGGCGCCGAUCGCAAUAAGAUUAUCGCCGGCGCGCGAGAUGUACGCGAUGAGGAGAGAGUCGUGCCGAGUGAGAGGGAAAGACGGGUCGGGGAGCGUACGGAGGCCAUGCGCAGUGCGCACCCGGGCUUACUUUAGGUAUUGGCUGCGGAAAAAAACCGACCGGGCCACAAAAGUCAAACGGUGAGUGAUGAAGUACGGUUACGGUGGACUGCAGUUGGAGGGAGUUGGUCAGUGACUGUUAACUGACUUGGGCGGUGAACCCAAUGGACUUGUGGAUAUGAAUUAAGGCCCGUUUGAUAAUUAUUUUUUUAUUUAAAUUACGUCGAUAAUUUUACAACAUUUACCAACUCGUGCGGUGCAAGAUAUUUGUAAUUCAGUUGGUUAUGUACAAAAUUUACGAUUCACGUGUAUAUGAGUUAGCGUCUACUUAAAAUUUUAAAAUUGCAUUGGUAAAAAGCUCUUCCAACUUUUAUACAAUUUAGAAGCACUUAUAAGCAUGUCGAAUAUGACACAACUUCAUCUUCUUCUUUUUUGUCCAGGACACAACUUCAUCUAAAAAACGUUUUUUAGUUCGAAAAACAUUUUCUAUUAAACAGUGUCAAAUACAAAUACAUAAACUGUGUCAACAAUACUUUCAUUAACAAAUAAACACAUUUUGAUAAACUAGGUCAAAAGCGCUUUUGGUAGCAAAAAUACUUUAUCCUGAAAGAAAAGCUUUUGAUCGCUUGAAAGUUACGUUUGAGACAAAUUUUGGACAGCUAAGAGUGCUUUAUGACAUAAAAAAAAAUCACUCCUAAUUACAUUUGGUUGAAAAACUUAUAAGCAUUUUUUAGUCGUAAAAGCAUAAUAGCUCGUUUAUAUGUGUUUUUAAAAUGAUUAAAAACGCUUUUAGAGAAAAUAUUUUUGGAUUCCAAAAGCACUUAAAGUGCUUUAUGCAAGAAGCACCAAUUAUGUGCUUCUUCCAGGAAUCACCAAUUAUGUGCUGCUUCCAGGAAGCACUUUAAGUGUUUUUCCAAGAUUUAUUUGCAUUUUUACUAAGAAUUAAUUCUAAAACAUGUUCACCAAAAACAUUUUCAAUCAUUUUAAAAACACAUCCAAACGAGUUACAAGUGUUUUUAGUCUAAGCAAUAUCAAACAACUUUCGCAAACAUGCUUUUACUACUUAAGAGCUGAGGCCCACUUAAGACAAACUUACUUGCAUGCAAUCUAAACCACUACUGAAAUAUAUACAUCACAGAGGACCCACUUAAGACAACUUUCGCAGUCUGUGUCUGCGGCAAGGUGCUUUUCCGACGCCGACGGUUAAACAACCGCCGUGGUACGAGGGAACGGAGAGCAGCAGAAUAUAUAGUAGCUUUACCACUACUGAAAUAUACAUCACAGAGGACCCAAAAGGUCACCAGUUCUUAUUGCCACCACAGAGGACCAAAAAGGUCACGAGUUCUUACUACUAGCAAGAAAAGCAAGCAGCGAAUCACAGUGAUUUCUGCCUACAUUAUUGAACACAAACACAUUAACAUCGACAUGUAAAUAGGAAAUACAUUGGAUGCAAGUGCAACGCAUCGACAUUCUGCUCCUACAGCUUGGAAGCUGCAUCGUGAUCUAAAAACCAAGUUACCUCGUCUUCAGCUGCGAGCAACUGAGCAGGCAAAGUAUCAGGAUGCUGAAUAUUUCCGAGUGCUUUCUGCACGGCAUCAGCUGUGUCAUGGCCUGUCACCACCAUUGCAUUGUAUGCAGCAGAGUUGAUCACCGGAAAAGUAAAAGUAAUUCUCUGUGGAGGUGGCUUUGGGGAGUCCAUAAUGUGAGUCACCCAUUUCGUCUUCUCGUUGCAAAGCGCAUGACCAGGGAAUAGAGAAGCAAGAUGUCCAUCUGGACCCAUACCCAGAAGUAUGAGAUCAAACUUUGGAAAUCCAGUAGCUUUUGAAGUGGCAAUCACAUUGCGCUGGACCAAAUGUUUAAGACAGGUUUCGUAAUCUUCUGCUGCUGCCUCGGCCGAAAGUGCAUCAUUAAUGGCGUAAACCUGACCAGGGGGAAUCAGUACCUGCCAAAAUCCAAAAUUUAGCAAGAUUAAGCUGAUGAAUUAACGACCUUGUGCCAUUAGGCCCUUGGAGGGCUUAGAAUGCUUUAGAUCAUAGUCACGCAUCAAAUGUUUACUCUAGACAGAGUUAAAAGAGUACAUUUCUUUCUUCAUCUCAUAACCAUCAUCAUUGCCAUAUCGAACCCUAAAAACAGAAGCACGACCCGAAAUUCCCAAAUUUCAGAUUGUCCAUUAAUUACACUGAUACAAAGAGCCAUAUCACUCACCAAUCUCAUUCACAUAUAAAUCAAAUUACUAUGAAUCUUCACAAGGAGCAAGCAAAACAAUAAGAGCAACUAAAAUUAAAAAUCGACCACAUAAAAAUCACGGCUUUGACACGCAAUAUUGCAAAAUUUAGUACUUUGACACAGCAUUCAGAAGAAAGCAUAAAAAAUUGUACCUUACAGAGCAAACCAUCAAAAGCAAGUUUAUAGUUACUGUCGGGGUGAUCCUUCUUCACCACUCUCUCGUCCAGCCAGAACACAUGCCAUUUCCCCCACUCCACCGUAUCCUUAUACGGCUCUUCCGCUAAUUUCCUGUAAAUCCAAACAUACAAAAUACCCACAACAAUACAAGAAAAGAAAAAAGCAGUAAACAGAACAAUCAAACUUGCUAUUGGACAACCAAAAACGCUUCUAAAUAGGCAACAAAAAUGAAUGGCGCUUAUGGGUCGUGGCAGGAAUGCUUACAAUAUAAGCAGACCCAACUUCUCGAGUAAGUACUUGAAUUAAUAGCAUGUCUAUGAUAAACAAAUUUCUUCUAGUAGAAGUGCUUAGAACAUAAGCAGACCCAAAAGCACAGACUUUUCGAGUAAGCACGUGAAUUAAUGAACAUUUCUACAUGUAUACGAUAAAAUCACUCCUAGCAGAAGUGUUUACAGAAGAAGCAGACCCAAAAGCACGUACUUUUCCGGUAAGCACUUGAAUUAACAAAAUUGUUUAUGAUAAAAUCACUUCUAGCAGAAGUGCUUACAACAUAAGCAGACCCACCAGCACAUACUUUCGAGUAAACAUUUGAAUUACUAAGCAUUUCUACAUGCUCAUGAUACACUUCUAACAGAAGUGCUUAUAACUAACCUAAGCAGACCGAAACCAAUCCGAAAUUAUCAAAAAGAAAAUGCUUGAGGGGGUAUGUUUCUGACCUGAGCGUGUAAAUGAGAGAGCCGCCGGACAAGACGACGGUAAAAACUCCCCUCUCCUUCACAAACUUGGCCGACAGGUCGGCGGUGUACUUCGCCAGACGCACCGCCACUUCCUCCUCCGUCUGAAACUUCUCCACCUUCUUCUCACACUGGCCCGCCAUCUCUGCCUACGCCGAUGAUGCGGAAAUUGGGUUCUUGAAAUUCGAGCGAACGGGUUUAAUCGAGGGGAUGGAGAUCUUGGUGCCGAUCGGAUUGAGAUUAUUCCCGGCGCUCGAGAUGUAUGCGAUGGGGACAGAGUUGUGCGGAAUGAGAGGGAAAGCUGGGUCGGCGGGAAUAUACGGAGGCCAUAAUCGGUGCGCAACCAGGCUUACUUUAGGUAGUGGCUGAGGAAAUGGCCGACACGUGUCGAAAGACAGGUCAAUUGUCUAUUAUCAACCACAUCGAUAUUGUCUUCCAUUUGUUAAUUAUUUCCAGUCUGACAAUUAUGAAAUUUUAUCACAAAAGACCAUAGUAUUAGUUGAAGUGUGGUUAGAAUAUUUAAACUUUUUCUUCAUAGAUACGUAUGGUAGUUGUGAGAUAUUUUAUCACGUCCCUCAUGGGCUAUAGAUUAGGAUAUCUCAUUACGCUUGGAACCCAAUUAAUGGGUCAUACUUGGGAGGUCUACACAUCAGAGGCAGAUUGUCUGCCCUCCUCUUUGGGUAUCAUUCUCAUCCCCUUCUAUUUUGUGCAGUCACGGUUAAGCCACGUCAACAUUUUAUAUUAAUUUUUUUUAUAGAGAUAAUAAGACAAAAAACAAUAAGAAUAUAAAAUGUUGACAUGACUUAACCGUGACCACACAAAUAGAAGGGGAUAAAAGGGCAUCUAAAGAGGAGGGUAGACAAUCUGCCUCCCUACACAUCGGUAGCCAAGUAGAGCCAAUGAGACACCCUACCCGCGGGGCCAAGGACCCACCCAUCACGUGACAGUACGGCACCCGCUCCAUGGCUUUGAUACCAUAUUGAAAUCUUCAUAGAGACAGGUCAAAAGUUCACUUGCAAAAAUAUAUUAUACCGAACUUGUUAAUUACCUACCACUUGCAUAGUUUAGCAGGUGUGGGGCUUAAUCCAAAAAAUCCUCGGUAUUAAUUGGAGGAGCGUUGGAUAUUUAAACUCUUUCUUUUAUUACAGACAUGGUUGAUGUAAGAUAUUUCAACAACAGGAACCCAAACAACAAAAGGCGAGUGAGGCUGUGUAGUCGGUUGGAAUUGAUCAGUAACGUGUGUUGGAGUUUUUGAUAGAAAUCUCCUUCUAGUUCAUUGUCCCACGUUAAUGACUAUCAAAAGUUUCUCACUUUAUAACAUUUUGUCCAAGUGAUUAGAGAGAUGGACCGGAACAAACUCCUAGUAUAAACAACAGUAGAGCAAACCAGUUUUGCUGCUGCCAGGAGCGAGACACACACAGAGACGGGGGAGAGAAGAAAGAGAGCCGGAGAAUAUGCAGAUCUUUGUGAACCCUAACAGGGAAGACUAUCACCCUCGAGGUGGAGUCUAGCGACACCAUCGACAAAGUCAAAGGCCAAGAUCCAAGACAAGGAAAGUAACACCAUCCACACGUAAGAUGUUUGAACACAGAGAUUGCAUGACAAAAUGUCACCACUUCUUAUUUACAAGCAAGAAAUACUGAAAGUACAUGACAGAGGACCAAAAUGGUCACCUCUUCUUAUUUACUAGCAUAGCAAGAAAAGCAAGCAGUGAAUCACAUUGAUUUCUGCCUACAUUAUUGAACACAAACACGUUAACAUCGACAUGUACAUAGUAAAUACAUUGGACGCAAGUGCAACGAGUUGCAAAGCCAUCGACAUUCUGCUCCUACAGCUUCGAAGCUGCUGCUUGGUCUAGGAACCAAGUUACCUCCUCUUCAGCUGCAAGCAACUGAGCAGGCAAAGUGCAAGGAGGCAAACUAUUUCCAAGUGCUAUUUUCACGGCAUCCGCUAGAUCAUCACCCGUCACCACCAUUGCAUUAUAUGCAGCAGAGUUGAUCACUGGGAAGGUAAAAGUAAUCCUCUGUAGCGAUUGAAUCAAUAAUCUGAAGGCCAUCUACUAGCACUGCUUACUUCUACUUAAGUUGGAGAUAGGUCCUAAUAUUAAGAUGGUGGUGGCUUUUUAUUUGGUGCGUGGCGGAUAUCUAGAGUUAGGCUAGUUAUUUUUGGUUUGUAACUGUAUCAACGAUUCAAAAUAGGCUCAAUUGAUAUCAGUUCACAUGUCUCCUAUUUUCGUCAUUGAGGUUAAUAUAAAGAGGUAUUCGUCGAUUUGCAUCUGAACUUGUAAGACGCUGUCAAUUCACCUCAUGAACUUUACUUUCGCCCAUGAAUUCUCAUAAUUAACCACGUUCCACCCUACUGUUUAUACUUACAUAGUGCCAUCUAAUAUUUUAAUGUCUCACUGGCUAUCCACGUGAUCACCUAUGAAAGGCUAACCGUGCGACGACGACACAUUUAUAUCAGCUGAUCGUGGCGAAACGACCACCUACGUCGUCGUGGGCUUCGCCUCCAAGCUCUUCCACUCUUCUCCAACCCCAAAUACGAAUGCUAAUGGGCCUCGGACCUCGACCCUACUCAUCUCCCAAACCGGGUACAAAUCCUCCCCUAAUCAGGCUACGACCGCAUCUAUGCGGUCGUGAUCGUCAACUGAACAUCCACCACCUCGUAAGCGCAGCUCUUCUGGUGGCAGAGAAAGUCCUAGUUUCCGGCCUGCAUCGAGCCUCACGAAGCUCAUCACAACCAUCCACCUAGCUCCCUACCUGCCACAUUGAGGUCGACUUCGACGAGGUGUUCUAGUGGCACAAGUAUUGUACGAUGUGUCAUCGAGGGUGCUGUUCACUAUCAAUGAGGGGGAAUAACCUCCGGCGACGACUGGAGCUUCAAACCUGUUACCACUUGAAAUUUGUAGGUUAACAAAUUAAAAUACUAAAUUCUUGGUGAGCGUGGGAUAUGAACUGAAUGAAAUAAACUCAAAGAUUUAAGUGGUUCAUCUUUUAAAAAUGAAAUACAUCGACUAUGUUUCUCAAAUUAUAUUGAUUUCAAAACUAAAAAUAGGGCUAGACUAACACAUGAACUCUCUCGUAAAAGCAUACGCGGCUUUCAGUCUAAGCAGCAUCAAACAAGCUUUUACUAGUUCACCAAAAAAAAAAAGAGGAAAACUAACGAAAAGUUCAAAAAAACUUCCUUUUUAAUAAAAAGAAAUUUUUAAAGGUAUAGUGAAUAGUAUCAGGGAAAUGUAUAAAUGUGACUUUCGUUAAAAGUGAACAAUACCGAUAGUGUUUUGUUAAAACUUAAAAAAAAAAACCAAGCUUUUACUCUGUUUGGGCUGAGGCCCACUUAUUUUAUAUUAAAAAACACAAGCCCAUUUCUAUCUUCAUUUUUUGGUGGGAAGCCCAUCAACGAGCAAAACCCUAGAUAAACAACCGUAGAGCAAAACAGCUUUGCCGCCGCCGAGAGCGAGACACACACAGAGAGACAGAGGGAGAGGAAGAAAGAGAGCCGGAGAAGAUGCAGAUCUUCGUGAAAACCCUAACAGGGAAGACUAUCACCCUCGAGGUGGAGUCUAGCGACACCAUCGACAACGUCAAGGCCAAGAUCCAGGACAAGGAAGGUAACACCAUCCUCCCGUAAUCUAAUCUCUCACAUUUUUUCCGACGAUCAAGUUUCGUGCUCGAAUUCAAAGUAGUACGAUUCAACGGUGAUGAUUUCUCCCCGGUAAUUGUUUUGUUUUUGUUUAGGUAUUCCACCGGACCAGCAGAGGCUCAUUUUUGCCGGGAAGCAGCUCGAGGAUGGCCGUACUCUCGCCGACUACAACAUCCAGAAAGGUUAGCAUUGUCUUAUCCCUUGUUUGGUUGCUCAGAAAAUUUUAGGAUAUGUUUGCUUGUGAAGAAUUUAAUUUAAUUUUGAGGUGUUAAUUUUUGGAUAUAUACAGUGUAAAUUUGGAAAAUGAGUUUUCGAUAUAUGUUUCCGGUUGCUAUGUGAUUGUGUUUGGAUCAUUUUACCUCGAGAAGUUUAGUAUCCAAUUUGUAUUAGCAUUACUCGAAGCGAAAUGAGCUAACGGAAGACUUGACGCAAAGCGUUUUAGGAUUUUACAGCCGAUCCCACUUAGUGGGAUAAGGCUUGGUUGUUGUUGUUUUACUCGAAGCGAAAUAUUUUCCUGUUUCUAUGUGAUUAUGUUUGGAGAUAUUCCACCUUCAGAAGUUUAUUACCCAAUUUAUAGUAGCUUUAGUUGAAGGGCUCGGGGCCGGGUUUGCACCUGCUGAUGGCCUGGUUUAUUCAUGUUGCUGGUGAUUUGUUGCGUGUUUAUACUUGUGUAUAGGUGCUUUCUGUUUGUUUAUGUUUCUAUGUGAAAUAUUUUCCUGUUUCUAUGUGAGAUUAUGUUUGGAGAUAUUUCACCUUCAGAAGUUUAUUACCCAAUUUAUGGUAGCUUUAUUUGAAGGGCUCGAGGCCGGGUUUGGACCUGCUGAGUGCUGAGGGCCUGGUUUAUUCACGUUGCUGGCGAUUUGUUGUGUGUUUAUACUUGUGUAUACGUGCUUUCUGUUUGUUUAUGUUUCACUGAUUGAAAGUUUAUUUUGAUUAUUUUUCUCAGAAUCAACUCUGCAUUUGGUUCUAAGGCUUCGCGGUGGGAUUAUUGAGCCUUCUCUCAUGGCAUUAGCUAGGAAGUACAACCAGGAAAAGAUGAUCUGCCGCAAGUAAGUUCCAACUGAUUAAGCUUUUCUUUAUUUCUUUCGAGACAUAAUCGAUGUGUUCAUUUGGAUGAGGAUUUGUAUUCUAAAAAAAGAGAAUGCGGAUGAGUAUUUAAUUUAUGCUUAAGCCCAAGCCAUUCAAUCCGAAUAUGAUUGAGCGUCCAACAUUCGUUAGUUUGAGAGCUAUUUUACUUUUCUUUGAUUCUCAUUGUAUCUCACGUAUAUAAAUGCUCGUGAGCAGGUGUUAUGCACGCCUGCACCCCCGUGCCGUGAACUGCAGGAAGAAGAAGUGCGGACACAGCAACCAGGUAUUUCAUAUAGCCGAGUGAUGUCUGUUUGAUCCUACUACCAACCGUUACUUUUUAAGGUUUGGUUCUUUAUUCGUGUCAUCUUUUAUUAAUGCAGCUUAGGCCAAAGAAGAAGAUCAAGUAAACUGGGAAUCGAGACAGCGGAAUGUCGCAUCUUUUUGGAUCAUUUAGGUCUUGGACAUUUUAUUUUAAAGCUUUGUUAGCGUCAACCAGGGUACUGUUAUAAGGUUUAGCAUCAAUAUUUUUCAACUUGCUUUGGAAUUUUUCUCUGUGAUGUUGCGUAAUCUUGGCGUUGUUUAAACUUCUGUUUGGACCCAAUUUUGCACCAUCGACCCGAGCAAUUGAGGCCGUUGAGUGAGUAGUUCUAGACCAUUGAGUACGUGAGAUGUUAAGAUAAUUUUUAGUUAUUAUUGAGUUGAGUGAUAAUAUCAUGAUUUUUAAUCAUGAUAAUUAUCUCUUAAUAACUUACUAAAUUAUCUUGCCGCAUUCGUAUCCUAAAUAAAAGGAGGUUGCAAGCAGCAAUUCGCUUACCAGCACCAUUGGACUCUACAAUAUCAUCAAGCCUUGCCAAGCCGCAGGAAUAUGCAUACUUGAAAGAUAAUAUUUGUUUAUACCAUAUUUAGGUUAGAGAGAGAGAGAGAGAGAGAUGGGAGGUAAUUGCAACAACACCGUUGAAACCGAAGCUGGUCGCUGGGGACGUUGUCGAUGAGAUUGAUCUGAUCGUAGAGAGAGAAGGCGCGUCUCCGCUACGGCAGCGAUUGCGGGUUUGCAGGUUUCGGGUGGGCUUCCUUCUGGAGGCUCCGAAUGAGGUCCGGCAGUGCCUCCAUGGCUCUCACUCUCAUCCGCAUCUCUCCCUCUCUGAUAUUUCGCAUCAGCUUUUUAGCGAGCAGCAGCUUUUGAUUUCCCCAGGAGAAGGAGAGGAUGAGACGCUGUAUAAUGCAGAAGGAGAAAAGAGGGAGGUGCUGGAGGAGAAUAUGCCAUCCAACGGAGCAGCAACUUGAACGGAGCUAAAGCGAGUGCAGAUUCUGAUGAGGAGUGUUUUGAUGAUGCAGGGAUUCUGAGGACACUGGAUUACCUUGGAAUUUCUCCGUUUGUGUUUUUGUGAUUUUGCAGAUUCACGGUGGAGGUGAAAAAAUGAAAAAGAACCGACACAAUUUUUCGUAUCGAUUCCCACCGACGGCGCUAAAUGUUAAUGCACAAAACCAGAGGUCUUGAAACAACGUAAAUCCGACCGUGAAUCUGCAUGAAAUGUAAAUAACACAAGAUGUAUCGUGGUUCACCUCAAGGUUUGGGCUACGUCCACAUUUAUUUGAGGGAGUGAGAGCUCUGAGAGAGAGCUUUGAGAGAGGGUGAGAUGGCCUAGGAAUUGGCCUCCCCCAAUUGUGAGGGUGAGGGGUCCUUUUAUAGAAUAAAGACUCCUCACUUAUUAUAUAUUUGCCUAUUCUUUUAUUACAUAAUUACAUUUAAGUUCCCAAGUAUUUGUACGAUAUCUAAAUACGAGGCUUUAAAUAUGGUAUAAACAAUAUUCAUGUUAUCUUGGAAUUGGCUACUGAUGAAUUAUAAAUACAGAGUCGUAGGCCACAUUGAAAACCUCCUUCCAAAUCAACACACAAAUUGCCUUGCGCAAAGCUUCUUAACAACCCUGAGAUUUUUUCCUCUCUCCCUUUCUUCUCGUCAACACAUCAUCAGUUUGGAUAAACAACAUUGGGAAGGCAAUCGGCGACAUCUUCAGUUUGAUAGACAACACUGGAGUCGUAGAAUCAAUUGACUGAGAAGCACUUUCAGUUUGGAUAGACUACACAGCUUCGAGACCGAUUGGUUAUUUAUGUAAGUCUUGGUUAACAAGGAUUUUCGAGUCCUUGUUGGUAAAGUUCAUCUCAUCAGCAUUCUCGGUAAAGUGAGGUGUUACCAGGUUACUACAUUUGGCACAUUGAAAGUCGAAUUUGAAAUUGAACUUCGCUGAACUAGCAGCCUUGUCUUCAGGCUCUAGAACCCGAAGGUCGAUACGUGUUCCUUUCUCAGCCGCAGUCGCAAGAUCAAAAAGUCAGCAGCGCGCCCAAUGCCAAAUCAACAUAUUUUACUCCCCGGCCGAAAUCGGCCGACUAGUUGAUACGCCCCGCGGACAACCGAAUGACAUAAUUAACUUAUUAAUUACUCGUCCUACGCGUCAUGUAAGCUUGAUAGUUUUUACCAUCAACUUCUUACUAUGAGAAAUGGCAUUCAAAAGCAAUCGCUUUCCUUCCAUUUCUUCAUUACCACAUUCUGAAACGGAUAAACCAAAUUUACAAGUUGUGCGAUGAUUUGAUAGGUUCAUCUCUUCUGUUCAUCUGUUCAAGGAUAAGAUCAGAAUUCGCAUCAACUUGUCUGGAAAAUGUUUUGGAUCAUCUUCCGUCUUGUUCAAUCUGCAGUUGCCCAAUGUAACUGUCCUUUUCCAAUUUGUUCGAUCUGCGUCCGAUCGAUCGAGGCACUGAAAACACAAUAGGGGAAGGCCAAAAUUAAAAAAAUGAGCCUGAAUUGACAGCUGUGGGAUUUGAACCCACGCCCUUUCGGACCAGAGCCUAAAUCUGGCGCCUUAGACCACUCGGCCAAACUGUCAUGUUUCGUCGUUCUUAACAAAAACAAAUUCAUAUUAUACUAAGAGCAGUUCCAUCAGUUAAGAAGAACAAAGGGCAAGGUAGUUAAGUUGGCCUUAUUAUUCACUAUAAAUAGUACUUGCCUAUGUGCGCUUCAAUCCGUUGGGCAAGGGAAAUGGCAAGUCAAUUACUAUUCACCAAUGUAAUUUUUUUUCUUCUUUAGGUUGUUUUGUUGGCUUUAUCCUUCACGUGUUAUAUUCGUUUUAAAUUUCCGAUAGUUCACUUCAUAACUUUCUACGCGUUCACUUGCAUGUAAUUCGUAAUGGAAUAACCCAAUUUCAGGAAUUUGAUUAACUAGGGGAGGUGUUAAUCCAAUUCCCUUUCCUUACUUUUUUCCAUUCCGAAGUUAUUCCUUAUUUUCCUCUUACCGAGAAGUAAACGAAGCAUGGUGACAGCGGAUAAGUAACUGAUUAGUUUUGGUGCAACAUGAAUCAUACAAACUAUGAAUUAGAGUCCCACUGAUCUGUUGCUUUUUUCAUGCAAUCUCUCGUGACCCUGCAACGCACACAAACACACAUACACUCAUGCAUGGAGGGCACAAAGACGUCCAUCCAUCGCUUAAAUUUUGCUUCUUCCCAGUUAUGUUCUCCAAACAACUGCCUGUUGUAAUAUUCUUUGCUCUCAAGGAACGCGAGAGCAAAGAAUACUAGUCUCUGCAGAACAAUUAGCGGACCGGAUUAUGCAAUAGCUCGACAGAUGUAAGCUCAAGAACGAUGUUAACUGGCUUACGCUUAUCAAGCUGCUGAAUAAUCCGGUUCGCUUACUGUUCUACAUCUAACUCAGCAGAAGAUGUAAGUUAAGGCGUCCACACCUCACUUAUGCUUUAGUUUAGAAGGAUCAAUACAUUGAUUAUAGUAAAAAUCUUCACUCUAAAUAUUACACCAAACUUUUAUAUGCAGGGUGUUGGGGGAAGGGGGGGUGUUGAAAAUUUCAAGCCCAGAAAUUUAACCAGUGUAAAUUACAACGUGAUGGAUCAAACAAAAUGCUGCCUGAAUCCAGCCUAUGCAAUUCUUGAGGUGUCGCAGAGGCAUCCAAUUGACCUAUCUUCAGAAGCUCAUCAUGUCUUUCAUCUCCAUACUCCCCACCAACAUCAUUGCUUGUAUGUGAAUCUAUGACUCCUCUCCGCUCCAAUUCCUCUUCUAGUCUUACUUGAGCAGUCGUCUCACAAUUCCCAUCUUUGUAACUCGAUCCAUCCGCCGUCUGAUUCAUGAGAGAAUCUUCGGUAGGGGCGCCAUCUCGAGAUGUUCCCACAAGAUCAUUCAACUUCUGCAACUGCUCAAAAUAACCAAAAAAAAAGAUGUUUAAUGUUGACGACCAAGCUAGAAAUUUAGAAUGCAAUUUCAUGAACAACGUUUGGCUCCUUACAUAUAAAUGCAAAUCACAAUCUGAUAGAACAACUUAUGCACGCAUGUCAAACCGUGAUUUUAUGUAUAAACAUGAUCGUUCUCACAUGAGAGGAGCCAAGUGUUUUUUCCUGAUUUUCAAAUUAUGAGAAACUGAAUAAGUUUAUUUACUUUACCUGCAUAAGCAAGGACUGCUUCUCCUCCUUCAAAGAUUCAAACCGACAUGCUAACUUGUCAUAAUCUUCUCUGAGACUUCUCAAGUCCCGCUCCAUCUGUUUCGACUUCCAUCUAGCUCUUCUGUUCUGAAACCAUAUGGCAACCUGGCGAGGCUGCAGCCCAAGCUCUCUUGCCAAUUGCACCUUCCUCCUCGGCUCGAGCUUCGAGUCUGCUUCGAAUAUAGACUCCAACAAACUGAUUUGUUCGUCGCUAAAUCGCCUCGUGUUUGUGCCCUUGUUCUUCUUCCUUUUCGUCGCGAACUGCGGCUCUGGGCCGCUCACAUAAUCCAAGUUUUCUUCUUCAUAGCACUCCUCUUUCCUCCUUUCCAUGACUCUGAUUCUCGGUUUUCAGUCCGAUCUUGGACUUGAUUGAUAUCGACUUGAAAUGUUCUCGACAAUUGUUGAAAUAUUAAGUAACGUUAAAUUUAUAAGUGGAUGUGGCUUAGGAAUCUUGGUAACGAUGUGAGCUUCUAGCAUAUAUAGUAAGGGUUGAAGAGUCUAUCUUCUCACUCACGCGGUUGCUUUCUUAUAAUUGGAAGUUGUUGAUUGAUAGGUUAUCGUAGGCUAAACCAAUGGUGUUAGCUAGCGUAAGCCACCCUUCAUUUCAUAAUUUCUUGCCUUGUGGACCUCUCCAAUUCGAGAAAUUUUUCAGUAUGCCGAAAAUACAGUUUGAUACACCAAGUAUCGUAAUACAAAUUGUUAGAUUUUUUUUAAGUAUCCAAUCACUUGGUGUAUCAGACUGUGUUCUUGGAAAAUUGAAAAUUUUAUCCUGUUCACUGUUAUCUUUCUUUCUUUCCCAUCUCUAGAAAUACCAGUGUAUGUAUGUUUCUUGCAUGCACAAAGCACACAAUUUUGGCUUGUUUUGUGCUUUUUUUGGGUGGAAAUAAUGAGAAAAAGUAGAUGCAUUACACAAUCUACAGGAUUUGAAAAGAAGAAACUUGAACUUGGGUUGCUUGUUUAGGUGUCGAUUUGUAGUCCGUAGAUGAUGUCCCAAUUGCCAUUCACGUACCAUAUAUACUUUUUGCUUUUUGACAAUGAGCACCCAAUAAUACAAGGACAAGGAUUGUCUGCCAUCCUACUUUCAAUGCCCUUCAGUGUCCUUCUGUUUUGUGUGAUCACGAUUAAGCCACGUCAACAUUUUAUAUUGUUUUUUUAUGAAGAUAAUAAGAUAAAAAUGAAUAGUAAUAUAAAAUGUUGAGUUGGCUUAACCGUGACCACACAAAUAGAAGGGUACCGGAAGGCACCGGAAGUGGGAGGGCCGACCAUCAUUGUCUAUAACACAAACACUAGUGUUCUAUUAAUUUUUCAAUUCAAUUAUGAUAAAAUCUUGUCCGUCACCUGUGAUACUAUUUACAACCGAUGAAACUGCAUAAUCUCUCGACUGCCAUAUUAUUUAAUUUGUCUAAAUCAUAGGCAUAAAAAAGUUGGCACUCGCAAAAUCGUACAUCAAAAGAUUAAUAUAUAGAAGAUUUGUAAUUUAACGGUGCAUAUUUCAUCUAUCAUUAUUUUUUUAUAUACUUUUUGACAAUAGGAAACACCAACAAUUCAAAUACUCAUGCCUUUUUCUUGACUCUUGAGUGCAACAUAUAUUUACAACGUGGUAAACACUUACAUCAAAAGAUUAAUAUAUAGAAGAUUUGUAAUUUAACGGUGCAUAUUUCAUUUGUCAUUAUUUUUUUAUAUACUUUUUGACAAUAGGAAACACCAACAAUUCAAAUACUCAUGCCUUUUUCUUGACUCUUGAGUGCAACAUAUAUUUACAACUUGGUAAAAUCUUAUCGUCAAAUAUGUACAACUAAUGACAUGGCAAAACCUCUAGACCAUAAAAUUUAUUAACUCGCAUAUUAUUCAUAUUAAAAAACUAAAAGUAAUGUGACUAAGUAUGACUUGCAUGAUGAAACAUACUAUACAAAUAUUUCACUUUCAAAAAUAUCUAACAUGUCUAUAGAAAAUUGAUGGUCGCACAUAUGGCAAGUUUUGGUUAAUAUUCAAUUGUGUCAUGAGUUGUAUAUGGUCGUGUAAGAUAGGAUGAUGGCAACUUUAGAUGAAGAUAAAAUUGCGUCGCCUAAUGCCGACAAACGAAAGGAUCGGUUUCAAUACACUUGUCAAGUUAAAUCAAAAGGAGAAAGCAAAGGCCAAUGCUUUUUCAAUAAAAGCCAAUCAUAUCGGUGGGGCUUUCUGCACUGAUGUCUCUCACUCCUCCAUUUUGUUUGGUUUCUAGUGCUUAGUUUCAUCCUACUCAAUCGAUGCGUCCAUUUUCUAUAUGGCUAGGUCCAGUGUCUUUCAGGGUUCCAUGGUUGGUGUGGUGUCCUCUCCAGACUCCCAUGAGACGUGCUCACUCCUCUCAAAUUCAUGCAUGCCUUUUGGGAUUAGGUCACACUUGCACGCCACGGGAGCACUUUAUCGUUUACAAUGUGGCAAGAAAUAAAAGGGUCAUGUUAGAAUGGUUAAAAGCAUUUUCGGAAUGAUUUGGGAAGUGUACUGGCAAAGUUUUUAUUGACAUAAUGUUCAACAAUACUUUUACGCCAUGUUUGAGACUACUUUUUAAAGGAUUAAAAGUUUUAUUUGAUAAUUGAAAUUUCUUUUACUUAGCUUGGCGGAAAACAUUUAAAAUGCUUUUGAAAUAUAGAAGCAUAUCUGUAGAAUCACCUAUUAGAUCCUAUUUCAUAAAGCAUUUGAAUUUAAUAAAAUUUCAACGUGUUUCUAAUUAAAACACUUCUAGCAAAGCAUUUUAAAUAAAAGCAAUCCCAUAUCAGCUUUUAGAAGGGUCUCAUUAAAUAAAAAGCGUUGUGAUUCAAGAAAGUUACACAUAAAAGCAAUUACAAGCAAGUGUUUUCUAGUAACUUCAUAAGCGGCCUAAAGUGGACUUCCGUUUUCAUUAGGUUUCCAGUUUGGAAUCAAAGUAAAAAUGGAUUAGCUCGAUCAUGAUAGAACUUAUGUAUUGAUUCUUAAGCAAAAUUCUGGUUUAAGAACCAAUUAAUGAACUAAUUAAAAACUCAACAGAAAACAAAACUGUCCUCCAUCUUGGCCUAACUGGUGGCCUCAUUUAUGUCGUCUGAGUAUUGAGCAAGCUGGGACAAAAAAAUUGUUAUCCAAGUCCAGGAUACUUGGCUGCAUUUCGUGCCAGGACUGGUGAACUCAGGAUAAGCAUAACAUGGAUUAGCAUUUAUUGUCGUCCGGGUAAGUCUGGUGUAGAUGUGAUGUGGCUAACCUGAACAAAUUCACGCUGUUUUUACUUGUCAAAUAUCGUUAAUUCGUCUUUGGUAUUUAGGUGCUUUGUGAGGACACGUUUCGGGGAGCGAUUCGAGCCAAAUGUCAGUCUCUGCCGUCGACAACAAGCGGGCAAAACUUUGGGGGCCAAAAAAUCUUUAAGUGAUGACUUGCGUGGCUCUCGAACCAUUAAGAAGAAGGGAUUGGAUUGCUGUCGUUGUUGCAUGAUUUCAACAUCAAUAGUUCACCUUUCCUUAAUUAAAUGUAGAUUGUGUAAGAAUGUGAAGGUAAAAGACCAUCACAUUGGUGAAAGGAGAAACUUUGCAUUGAUUUAUAAGAGGUUGGGUUACUCCUCAUAUUGCCAAUUAAUUGUAUAGUGGAGUCUCAACUCUUUUCCGAUUGACGAUUAACUAAUUUGAUCCAUUACCUUGUCCCUCAAGUUAAAAAUAGCCUUAGGGUUUGUAAACCAUUUGUUUCUAUUUCACCAAAUGAAAGAAGAAAUAAAAACAAUUACUUCAAUUACCUUUAGAUGCAACAAGAAACAUGGAGGCACACGUGUCUUGAUCAAACGGUAGGCGAAGUUCCUAUUGAUCACCAUAAGAAAAUAAACUUAUUAGACAUCUUUGUUAAUAUUUCUCUAACCCAAAUAUUAUAAGCAUGUUAUCUCAAAUAAAAGUAAAUAUACAAAGCAUUAGCAUCUAUAAACCGGAUGGAUUUUCAGAACUUGAAGACGAUGACAAUUUUCUAGUACUUCCAGCAAUCCAUCAUACUGGAGGAUCCCCCAUGAGCAACCUAUUUCCAAACAGGUUAGGCAUUUCGACACUGGCAUAACAGCUGCAACUCCAACAUAUGGAUUCUGCACAGGCUAUUUGUUCGAAUAAUUAAUAUUUUUUAGGAAUAAUUUGCUUAAGGUCACAUAAUAUUUUCAAUAAUUAAGAUUGGGUCAUCUGACGCCACUCAGUACUAUGGUCUGGUGGUAUUCCUCUUUACUUGUAAGUGAAAAGUCUUAGAUUCGAAUCUUGUAGAUGACGAAUUCGAUACCAAUUUAGGUUGUCUAUUGUGGGAUUUAACCGAACUCCCAUCCCCGUAGUGUAAAUUAUAUCGUUGUACUAAAAAAAUAUAUAUAUAUAUAUAUAUAAAUAAUUAGGUCAUGUCUGACACUUUAGCGACAAAGAUAUAGGAUACUAGAACAAAAACAAAAAUGUAAUGACAUAGAAUUACCCCGGGAAAAUAUAAGAUUUUGAAGACAAGAGGAGAGUUUUGUUGUACUUUCUUCAGUUCGUUAGGAAAGAAACCCAGAUUUUCAAAAAUCGUAUUGAACUUGGUUAGGACGUUCUUGAACACAGGAAUCGAAUCUAAGAGUUUUCUUCACCAUAAAAUUUAGUAUAACAACAUAGGGUAAUUUCAACUUUACUGUCCUCAUGUUUCGUAAAACAAAUAACUUCGACCACCUUGAGAUGCGACAAGAUAUAUCUAUCUUAACAACAUGCUCAACAUUCCCGAUUGAUAGAUAGAUAAAAUUCCUGAUUGAUAGAUCAACAUUCCCGAUUGAUAGAUCAGAUAUUUUUAGGUUCCCGUAACAACAUGCGAUAAGAGAUCGUCAUGGAAAGAGAUUCAAAUAUUUUAGUCGAUAUUUUGAAUCAUAAAGCUCAAGUUCCAUGGCGUGUUCGAUCAGUCGUCGGUUCUACAAGACAUUUUAAACCAUAGAGAGAAACGAACAUGAUUGCAAACGGUUUUGCUAUAUUACGACCUUAUUACUACCAUUCAUGUGUAUGGUUCACUAAUUUUCCUAACAUUGUUAUUUCCAUAAUACAAUUUGCUACAUAUGGUUAAAGAUUUGUAGAUGAUCUUGAUUGUAAUUUGUCUGUUUCUAAAGGAAAACAUAGCUAUUGCUUAACUUGAGAAUAACCAAUAUUAUAAGCAUAUGUGUGUGUGUGUGUGUGUGUGUAUGUAUACCCCAUGAAUUUUCAGAACUUGAAGACGAGGAGUGCUUUGCAGUGCUUUCAGCACUUCGUUACAAUUUCGUCUUACCCACGGGCCACAUGUAUCCCACUUCCAAACAGGUCCACUGCUCGAACAUUGGCAUAUCAUCAACAUUUCGAUCUAUUGGUUUAUUAAUCAAGAAUAAAAUCAAUGAAGACAUAUUAAUUAGCAACAGUAUAAGGACUAAAUAAUAGUAGUAGAACGAAAAAUGCAAUUAUAUUGCAUGUAAUUACCGAGCUCAAUUGAAGAUAUUUAAGACAAGGAGAGUUUUGUAGUAUUUUCCGCACUUCAUUAGAAUUGAUAAAACUUUGAAAGCACAUAUGGUUUAGGAAUUGGAACAUGGGAAUCGCAUCCAAAAGGUUUUCCUCAAUAUCUCCUGGAACCUAAAAAUGUAAAUUUGACAUAAAACAUCAGUGAUACAAUAUUUAUAUUGAGAAACAGAAUAUUUCAAACAUGCAUCUUCGCUUGACAACAUAUGAAGCAACGAAUUUCAAAAGAAGCUACUGUAGUAGAUUGCAUACCUUAAGAUCGAGUUUUUUUUACAUUAGAGAGACAUCCAAGAAGCAUAUAAAUUCGAUAGGUAGCAACUUUAUCACCUAUUACAUAACACUCAAUGCAUGCCUCCUCAAGUGAGGAUUGAUUGUACAAGUAAUGCUCAUUUUUGAAUCUACCAGAGCAUGUAUAAUGUUUGAGAUUAGUUCCAUGAACCAUGACCCGACAACCAUGAUCGAAGUUUCCAAAAGGGGUGUGCUAUCCACACACCUCUUUUUAUUUCUCACACACCCCUUGUUAAUUUCUGUCUUUUGAUCUUCUUCAAUUCCUCUUAUCCGACGGCCGAAAAUAAGAAGGGUGUAUAAAAAGUAAAAAGAGAUGUGUGGAUAUCACACCCCUUUCCAAAAUAAUCUUAAUGUACGGUCAAUCUCAAAAAGUUUUGGUGCACGAAUAUUGACAAUCCUGACGUUCGGCAAGAACAGGAAUUUUGAUAAGCAUAAAUCUUCAAGGACUGGACAGCUAGAAAAUAAUUGAUUGGUCGAUUGUUCAUCCGAGAAUUUAACAAGCUUGAGCACCAAGGUUUUGAGGCUGGAAAAACAUGUUGUAGGGGGACGUUAGAAGACACUAGGCAUGCAUAGAUCUAAAUGCACAAGUGAUUCGCAAGAAAACAAGCAGCAAAGCAACGCAAGUAAUUCUGCAUCCAGUAUUUUGUUUCCGUAAAUGUUUUCAUCAAUGUAGAUAGAUAAAUCCUGCACAUUCCGCAUCUACACCUUUGAUCCAACGCAUAAUGACAGAGGUCAUAGCUUCUUAAUCGUAGUGUUGAUAUAUAAUUAUAACAUGGAAGCUUUUUACGAAAUGUUGAAGAAAAAUUGCCCUAUCCACAUAAUCUGAAAACUGUUCUAUCUUCCGAUCCCGGUUGAAGGGGAAUUUACGCAAGUCAAUGAUGGGAUUGACGUAUCUCCACCUUUUUGAUAAUAUGCUCGUUCUAACUGCUUCUUUAGGGUUGAAGUAGGAUAUCAUGAGUUGAAGAAUGUCGUCAGGUAAAUCACUCAAGCUUCUGUUGCUGCUGCUAAGCUUUCCUGUUUCCAGAUAUUAUUCAUCUUCGGUUAUUCAACAAUAUUAGCUCACCUAAUUUUUUCAUAAAAAAAAAAAAAAGGAACAAAAUUGAGUCACUUACGCUAUAGAAAUUAACCCAGAAAGAGCUUACGGUUUAGAAAUUUCAAGUCGAAGACGCAGCUGAAGAAUUCCAAAUUAUUAAUUUAGAAAUAGUGAACAAGCAGCCAGCAGGACACCCCACUGGCACUCUCCCGUCGCUCCAAUGACUCCAGUCUCUCCGGUCUCCAGGAAACAGAUAUGAGAGCAGAGAGGGAGGUGGUUCUACAAUUAUAUAUGCGCCUUUUUCAUGGGCUUUCCAUAUGGGCCUUUUAAAUCUGGCAUUUUUCUUAGAUUUCUCGGUCCUGUUUUGUUCAUUUUUCAAUUAAUAUUACGAUUUAAUGAGAUUCUCUUAUUGGUAAAUCUACAUUUCUAUAUAAGUCAAAAUUUUUAUUUAAUUCGACUUCCAUGAAUGACGAGUUGGAUAUAAGACUCAAUAAUCAAUUGUAGAAUCCGUUUGAAAAUUAUUUUUAAGUUGCUUUUUCGUUCAUAAGUGUCUCUAAUAAAAACGCUUCUCUUAGAAGGAGAAGCAAACACAUUUUACCUUUAAUCAAGACGCAAAUUAGAGUUUGGCAUCCACUUUUUCACACCCUUUGGACAAGUUGAAGAAUCUUCAACUUCUAAAAAAACCAUUUAAUUUGUUCGAUCACCAAUUAUACCAUAAUCACAAGAAAACUGAGUAAAAACUUUUGAGCUUCAAGCAUUUCAUAUGCACAGUUAUGGAUAUGACGAAAUCCAUCCCAUAAUCUCCAUAAAAAUUAACUUCGACCACCCUUAAUUGUGACAAGAAACAUGGAGAUACACGGGCCUUAUCAUCGUUUAUACUAAAAUUCCUUGAUGGUGAAUUCCAUAUUUUCUAUAUAUUGGAGUUGUGGUAGAUGAUAAACACAUAUGUUAAGACGUUUGAGGUUUUCUUGAUUGUUAAUUAUGUUUGUACCAUACUUGACCAAUUCCGAAACUAUCAAGCACCGGUCAACGUCAUACCUUCAAGGACCCACUGAGGGGUUCAUACUAAGGCACCCCUGCCAAAGCACAAGAGUUUCCCUCCAACCAGGAAGCCAAUCACAGCACGACAAAUGUCAACGUCAAAAUAAAGCUCAUAGAGUCCCACUUCGACCGCAGACAAAAGUUGGAGACUCUCCUCAGCUAUAAAAGAAGACCAUUCUCCUACAAUUAAUCUCUAAUGUCAUUAUUGUACUUAAACCAGUCAUUAGAACUCAUUAAUGAUGAUUAUUCUUAAACUUAUGUAUUUGUGUAAACCCUCCACUAUUAAUGAGAACUCAUCUACCCCGUGGAUGUAACCAAACUGAGGGUGAACCACGUACAUCUUGUAUUUGCUUCUCUAUCUCUAUCUCUUUACAUAUUUAUCCUCACUAGUGACUCGGAGAAACCAAGCGAAUGUCACAAACUUGACACUUUACAUUGUUCCAAAGUCUUCAUUGAUUUUGUGUAUCAACAAUUUCCAUAUUACUAUUGGAGUUGGCUUCAAGUAUUUUGUUUAGUUUUCCUGUGUAAUUUAUCACUCUAGGUAAAAAAUAUAAUAACUAAAGAAUUUAAAGAUGAUAUAGUCAUAAUAAGAUGAGGAUUUAAUUUUAAUGGUUGACUCAAUUUUUUUUAAUACAAAUAAUAUUUUUAUAUUAAAAAGAAAAAAUUUAGAAUAAACUGUGAUAGUUUAGUUCAAAUUCGCUUGAUAAAGAAUAACAUUUAAUAUCUCUUAUGAAAUAAACAGAGUGUGCCCACCCAAUUCAUAUAUCUAUUACAGUAUUCGUUACAUGGGAGUGUGUGCCUAGCUAUGAACACAUGGUGUUACCCCAGUUACCCGGAUCAGGAUCCUCUCCUGAGCAAGGAGUGAGAAUCUUCCUGACCAAGUCCAUCAGGCUGUUGAAAUUUUAUCCAACGAUUAUAAUUAUUAUAACUUUUAAAGAGCUCUCCUGUUUAUAACCGUUGGAUAAAAUUUUAACGAUCCGAUGAGCUUGAUCAGAAGGAUUCUCACCUUUUGCUUAGGAGAGUAUCCUGAUCCCAAUUGCCCAACCUUACAGCUGGUUCCAGAAACCAACACAGUUGACAAUUAUCGGGCCCACGCACCUACUCUCUCGAUGUGCAGCCCUUCUUUUCUUUUCCUUUUCUUUCUCGUAAAGUAAACCAAAUGAUUAUACUUGUUAAUAAUCAUGUAUUUAUUAUGAUUUCAUUUCAUUUCAUUCAAGAAGUAAAAGUACUCUCUCCCCUUUUGUUUCAUUUGGAAAAACGCGAUCCGAAUGAGAGAACACCGGCCGUAUAAUAGAUGAUGAUGAUCAGUCGAAGUUUAUAUAUUACAAAGGAAGCUUAUCGUUUUGAGGGGAAUGUUGUCUGGUACGAGGCUAAUAAGUCAGCAAUUCCUCGGACCAGGCUUCAUUCCCCUCAACUAAUGCUUCCAUCUAAUUUGCCAAGCAUCUCUCUUCGUAAAAUAUUAGUUCGCCAAUAUCGUCAAGAUGUCGAUCCCCUGCAGAGAGAUGAUCGAUGGAUCUUCAGGUAGGUUAAUUUUAACUAAUCCCAAGAUUUUUUUUGGUUAUUUUAUGUUGAUCAUCUAACAGAUUGAUUUAAUGAUGAUGCGGGCUUAGUUUGAUCGUACUUCACUACUACAGGUAUGAAAGAAGAGAAAAAAAUCUAUCAUUUGCGUUUGACUCAUGAUUCAAGUUUUUCAACAUUAAUACUGUGUGUGUGAAUUUCUGUCAGCCUUCCUUUUUGUUCAUCAUUGGAUAGAUCUUUUCUCAUGAUGGGCACAACCCUAAUUAGGGUUUCCAAUCCGUGUGCUUUUCUUUGGCCUUAGCUAGGGUUAAACCUCCCUAGGUUUUUUCUUUUCUUUUUUAAGACCAAUCAAAAUUAGGGUUUUCAUCUAUUGGAUAAUCUGGAUCCGUUACCUAAUUACAAAAUUAAUAACGGUUAUAUCUGGAUAAUUGCUUUCGUUGUAUAUAGUGUAGUGGGCGGCGGGUGGAGUUGCAGAGCUGUUUGUAUUCACGGUAUCAGUAUAUGAUAAUAUUGAUCUCCACCCUUCUCAGCAGCUUUACUAAUUAAUAUUCUACUGAUCUCACUAUAUUAUUUAUUCCAUUGAAUAAUGUAUUGAUAUAUACUUUUAGUGACUUAGGGAUUCGAAAUUCGAAUCCUCUGCGUAGAUAUGGAAUUUCCGUGAAGAUAUAUCGGCACCGAUCAGAGUGCGGACAUAUAUUCUGUAGUAUUGAUUCCUCUUUAUUGUGAUCAGUUUGCUUUUGUAAAAGAGGUAUUUCUUUCAUCUUUUGAACAUAUAUUUCUUUACAAUGCAUGUCAUCUAUCUUCCUGAUAUAGUUGUGUGUGUGCGCGCGCGCGUGCGUGUAUCUGUGUAUGGAAAUCUGGGAGAGGUUGUGUUAGAUCAACUAAAAAUAAUUUCAGUUAGAAAGAAGGCUAGAGAAAACACAUUUCUUUACCAGAAAAUACAGCUUCGUUAGGUUAUUUUUAUUUCAGUUUCUUCAACUUAUUUACAGCAUGAUCUCCUCAUUGCACAAUUAUAUUGGUGAUCGCCAAUCAACCAUUUAUAGACUUCCACAGUUCAAAUUGUAGCUAGUUUUUUCCUUAUGAUCCUCAUUGCACAAUUAUAUUGGUGAUCGCCAAUCAACCAUUUAUGGACUUCCACAGUUCAAAUUGUAGCUAGUUUUUUCCUUAUGAUCUGUUUGACUGAUAUUCCAAUAUCCCAUCCUGUUUAAUUCGAACCUUCGUUGUUAGGUUGGCAAGACUAUACAUUGUAUACUAAUCACAACAAAAAGCUAACAAUAUAUGGCCAUUGAUCUUAGUUAUAAGCUUGGCAAAAGGCUUAUAUCAAUGAAUGAUCGGGGUGGUAAAAGGUCUAUCAGUGGCCAUUGAUAGACCUUUUCACCAUCUCAUUUUAUGAAACUAAUGUCAGUUGCUAUGGUAUAGUUUCUUGUAGUGACGGUUGGUUAUUGUAACAACUAGCAAGCAGCCACUAAAAUCUAAUCCAUUCACUUCCAUUUUUCAGAAUAUACCAAGUCGGUUUACGUGUUUAUUUUUCUAGGAUGUGACUAUUUAAAACAAAGUGAUGUUAUUUGGACACGCAUGAAACUGAUACACUUCUUAGAGCAAGUAGUACACAUAAUAAUAAAGUUCACCUCUAUUGGAGACUAGAGAGAGUGUUGCCAAAAUCCCAAAUGUAUCAAUUAUGUGUGUUUCAAUAGUUUUAUGUUUUGUUUGACAAAAAAUAUAUGGUUUUAUUGUUUCCAAUAACGUGUGCAUGAGCAUGCAUUGAGCACAAACACUCGCCUCUUCUCUUCUAAUAAACUACCUCUUCCCUUCUAAUAAACUAUUUCAUGCACAUUUCUCAGUUACUCAUAUAUAAAAAGGUUGGUAAGCUCGUUAGCUAGUAGUACUGUCUAAGGUCUGGGCCAGGCCACAAACCGCGCACCUAGUAAAUAUAUAUUUGACAAUUGUGAGUAGUGGGGUGCAGCCUUGCAGGUGUGUGCAAUGUGCGAGACAAAGUUAAAAAGAAAAAGACUUUAUAUCUUAUGGGUGGAAAGGAAAGUACUGAUGAUCACUGGAAGUGUAGGUUUUAUAUAUUGCCGCCUGCAGUCAAGUCGAUGAGGCAUCAUGCCUUAAUGCACUUUUUAUUUAGUUUUCGGGAUCGCCAAAAGCAACUUUUUCUGGUUUUAGUUGUACAAAGAUAUAUAAAUCUCAAUAGCGAUUCUUUAAGAAUGCCUGCACUAGCUGUGGGUUGUAUGCACCAACCGACCAAAUUUUGCAGUGCAGUAGUUGCUCUCUUUUUAUUGGGAGCUGGGAUUAGUUAUUGCAUUGAUCAAGCAUGUACUGCAUGUGAAACACAAAAUGUGUACAUACUGAGAAUGUAUAUGUAACGUCUGCAUGAUUAUAGUAAAAUGUACAUAAGAAUCUAAUUCACUUCCUGAACCACCAGCGGUUGACUCUAGGCAUUUAGUCCUUACUCUUUCUGACAACAGCGCUUACGUCUAUGACACCACCACUGGUACCGGCUAGUAAAGUAGCUUUUCCCAACAUGCUAUAGUGCCUCCCAAUGGGUAGGAGCAGAUCGAGUUCGUAUUGCUGCAGAGCAACUGACUUUCUUUCCUCCCUGAUUGGUUUUCUUGCCUGAAAUGACUUUCCGAAGGAAAAAAGGACUUAGCGCUUGAAACUCCUAGCUCAACUAGCGCUUUGCGCGGGUAGAAGGACUAAUUCAGUCUAUUGGGGCCUAGAGGAGCUAUAGACUCUAGUUAGUCAGUUUCCUGGUGACUCCUUUGUCUUGGAGGAAUGGAAGAUAAUGACAUAGAAACAACAUCGUAUUCUUGUAUAGGAAAUUGCUCAUAUACAUAAUAGGGUGAGUAGUGGGUGGCACUUGCAGGUGCGCAAUGUGCGAAACAAAUCAAUUAAAAAGAAAAACUUCGUAUUGCCAUAUUGUCACAAGUUACAGAAAGCGAUUGCUGGAAAUGUAGGUUUUAUAUAUAUUGCCACACCUACGGACUGCAGUCAAGUGAGUCGAUGAAGCAUCAUGCCUUAAUGCACUUUUUAUUUCCAUUAUUCGGCCAAAUGUAAUAGAUGAACAUAACUCAAUUAAUAUAUUGCACUAAUUUUGGAUCGCCAAAAGAAAAAUUUUGGGUUUUAUUUCUGCAGUGCACUGGUUGCUUUACUCUCGGGACUUGCUACAUUACAAGUACUUAGUAAUAUCACCAUAUAUACUCCUUAAAUAUCAUUACAGCAAAUUUAACCGUUAAAUUGUGAUCAGAAAAGAAAAAAAAAACUUUCAGUUGUGAUUAUACUAAAUACUUGUAAGUAUUGUAACAAAAUUCACAAUUUACUUGAAAAUAUAUACAAUAAUAAUUAAGGACGUGACCAUUUAACUGAUCAGGAGUUUCCAAUUAUUGGUGUAUGGUUGCGAUGAUUUUAAGUAUAGACUUCUAGUCCUACAAAUGUACAAAAUUAGCUGCUAGCUGUACACUUAUUUACUUGCAAGUAUCAUUUAUCUUUUUGUGCAUAUAAAUCUUAUUAGGCAUGAAAUUACCCAAUGGUGGAGUGGUAUAUGCUUAAGACAAUCCAUCUCAGUUGUCAUGCAGAUCAUACUCAACUGUGUUAAUCCAAUUACAAUCGGCAAAAAAAAGAUAAAAAUCCUAGAAUAUCUGGUUUGGAGCUGUAUCUUCUUAAUUAACAAUAUUUAAAUUCUUAAAAAUAGAAUUUAAUCUCAAAACAUUUUAAAAAUAAAUAAUAAAAACAAUGUCCAUAAUAAAUUCCAAAAAAAUAAAAAAUAAAGAUGUACAGCUCAUAUCUAAGUCUUAUUAUGCAAACACAAAAUAAUAAUUAAAGAUGCAAAUUAAAUUCCAAAACUCCUAAAUUCUAACCGUAAAAGGCCGAAAUGGAAGGAGACAUCUCAUUGCACCACAUUUCUCCUCCUCCCUUGAUUCUCCCUCCUCUCUCUAACUAAAGUUUCUAGACCCCAAAUCAUCGAUCGCUCUUCCUUCGUUGCAGGCUGUCAAGCCUGUUUCCCGCCGGUAGGGAAAUCGGGGAGAGAAAUAAGUCUCAACCCUUCUCUCCCCAAAUACUCCUCCGACGUAACCCGCACCCACCCCCUAAUGCCCUCUUCCUCAGUUUUUCCAUAUUACACCUUUACUUCCUCCAAUAUUGUUCCCAAGUACUCUAUCCUAUAUCUGUUCACUAUUCCCAUUCCAUGCAUAAUCUCCAGUCCCACCACCUUCCGCCGCGUCUCUCACCGCCACGGCCAGCAGCCUUAUUACCGCCCUUACUUUUGUACAACCAUAUUAAUCACAUCUCCCCUUGUUUUACCGUAGCCGUGGUUAGGUAGCAAUAUAUCGAUAUCGAUACUAAAAAAAAGUAGAUAUAUUCAUAACCAUCGGUAUAUUCGAUAUCGAUAUAUACAAAAAGGAGGACAAACAAAAGGAGGGUUUGUCAUAGCUAUAUAGCAAAUCGAUAUAUCCAUCCUUCAUCGAGAUCAUCAGAGCGAUCGAGAGAGAUAGAAUAUUAUUCAUUGAUUAAUUAAUUAAUUAAUUUGUUUUACAAAUUAAUUAAUUAGUUAAUCAAUCCAAUUGAUAUUUCGCUCGAUGUUCUUCAUUCCUUCAACGCCAUUCCUCGACUCCGCCUUCGACGUUGCCACCUUACUAUUCAUCUCCGCCCUCAUCGUCCUCUCCCUCCUCUCCAUCUCCUUCAUCUUCAACCUCUGCUUAAAGUCCCGCACAGCCCUCCACCUUCGGCACUUCAACUCCCUCUGGACCGUCCGAUUCCUCCUCGUCAUAUUCAUCAUCUUCUGGUCCCUCAACGAGCUCCUCCGAAUCCCCACCCUCCGCCGCACCUACCUCUACCCUUUCCUCUCCGUCCUCGCCUCCUUCGAGGAGCCCCAGUUUUGCAAAAUCCACGUGGCGCUCUCGUUAGGGUUAUUCGAGCCUGCCUUCCUCGUCACCCUGCUAUUCCUUGUCGAUGCCUCCAUUGAAAGAAAGACCCCCAAUGUCUCCUGGGCCAUCGCAUUCGUCCUCGCCACGUGUCUCCCCAUGCUUCUGGUGCAAGUCCUCUUCCUGUUCUUCCACCCGUUCCACAAGCUCCACCUGCCGCUGCCGGAGAUUUUCGUACGGAACUAUGUCGUCCAGAAGGUCGAGUACGGCAGCAGCAUGGUUUCAUGCACAUACCCUUUGUUGAACACCAUCAUGUUCGCCGCGUUCGGUGGCGCGUACUCGAUGUGGUUCUUGUUUUCGUGCUGGAGGGUUUUGUCGUUGGUGAUCAACAAGGGGCUGAGGUUGAGGAUUUACACCCUGGCCGCCACGGUAUUGGUGCCACUACCACUGCAGAUUAUUCUCAUGGGGAUGACCGUGUUGUGGAAGCCGGACCACCCGGCGUUCACCGCCCUCUCAUUCGCUGCGUUUUUGUCGACGCUAAUUUGUGCAGCCGUGGGGCAGGGCAUUUUGGUCAUUAAGCCCAUCGCAGACUCGUUAGCUGCCGGAGAAGAUCGCUGCCGCUUGAUUCGGAAGCGGAAGCCGGCGGAGGGGGUGCAGAUAAUUGUGUCGGCUGAUUAGGAAAACCAUUAAUAUUGGACGUAAAUUACAACACAAUACAUUCGAUGAUGACGAUGAGGAAGAUUACUUGAUGUUCUAGUUAGAAUUAUGAUGGCCCACUUCACCAUUCAAGAAAUCUUGUUUUCUUUUUUGGGUAAGUACACAGAUAUGGAAAAAUUCAGAAGAGGAAAAUGAGAACCUGGAUAUUAUUAAUUCGUACGCAUGAAUAUUUGAUGUUUUCCUUUCUUCCCCUUCUAGAUGUGGUAUAGAAUUUUCUUUUUUACUAACUCCCAAAAAGGAUGGACUGCCAUGGCAAAGCAUUUCAUCCCUCACCUAGCCACCAUUGUGUAUUCAAGAGCGUUAGAAAUCAAACACAUGAUGUAAUACACGGGCCCUGAGAAUUGUUUUUUCUAAUGAACCCUAGAUGUUUCCCUUGUAACGAAAUAUUUUUUGCUGUGUAAUUAUAAUAGUAUUUUACUUAAUUGCUUUCCAUAUAUCAUGAAUUCCAGUUCAAGCCCAUAGAAAUGCUCUUCAUUAGACUGGCGGCCUGGUUAUGCGCUCGGAUUGGACUUCCAAACCCAAAUCUUAACCACGGUCGUCAGUCUCGUGACCAGCAAAUUGCACAAAUUCAUUUGAUCCAUGUUCAUAUUUUUAAUCCAAAUUAUAAUUGUUUUUUUAUGUUAUUUUUCCGGGACAAUUUUGGUUUUGUUAGUGUUGGAACCAAAUCUGAAAAUCAUGGUCAGACAUUUAGUGUACAAUUUUUUUGUUGGAGUUUAAUGUACAACUUGAAGUGCAGAUUUAGACCACAAAGCAAAAAGAAAAAAUUGAGUACGAUUACCUUCCCUUCAAAUUCUUCUUCCUUUUCUUCCUUUUUUAUUUAAACGGUCAUGAUUAAAUCACGUCAAUAUCUUGUGUUGACAUUUUUUAAAAAGAAAGUGAGAGAGGAUGAGACUCCAGAAAAAACGUCGAAUUACAAUUAGAAUGUGUUGUACAACAAUAAUAAAAGGUCUUUUGUUAUAAAUCAAUUAAUCAACAUUUUGAUACCACAUGAUUUUUUUUUUUUUUAAAUGAAUCAGCUGGCAAAGCCAUGGCAGUUCACUCUUUUAUUUUGGAUGUCAACUAUUAUAUCAGUUAAUCAACAUUUUUGUUGCCACAUGAGAAAAUUCGAACCUACAUCUUCUCGGCUAAUAAACAUUUAAUUAGGUCACAUCGGCGUAACUUCAAAGGACCACCCACUUAAAGAACAAAAAGUUGAAAACCAAAUUGGUUGGCUGUUAUAAUCAAAGGUAGAUAGCACUAAAUUUUGAAACGUACUCGUUGGUGGAAAAGGAAAUGAAUUAAAAUUGAUCGUAGCUAGGAAGAAGUUUCAUUUACCUCUCAUUUCCUAAAAUUCCAAUAAGACAUUAACACUAAGACUCGAUUAUUUCCUCCACAAACUACAUAUAUUUAGGAAUUGUAAAUUGACCAACCAACCAUUUGUUCAACAAUAUUUUUCUUCUUGAUGUUGUAAGAUGUCGUAAGUUCGAGAAUCCAUCUCCUCUUUUGGUCAAAAUAAGAAAACAUAAACUCAGUCAUAAAAUUGAAUUAAUGAACAAGGGGUAUUAUUUGCUGGAGAGAUUUUUCAAUAUGCCCAUAAUACAUACCAUGAGACAGUGGCAGAGCCGGAAAUCGAAGUUAGGAGGGGCCUUUAAGCCAUAAGAAAGAAAUUGAAAGAAAAAAAAUAUAACUAACGGGAGAAAAAUGUUCAUUUUUUGAAGUGAAAUGAAUAAUUUUAAUAAAAAAAAGAGUAAUAAAGUCACAAUUUUUUUUUAGAUAAUUAUAUUGUAAGCAUUGAACUUCUUUAUAAGUUCCUAUAAUGAAGUUGAACAAAAAUUAAUAAUCAUGGCUCAAAACUACAAUUUGAAGAUUAUCUUUGAAGAUGAAUUCUUCCUAUAUUCCAUAUAUAUGUGGUUUCAUUAUAAAACAAUACUCUAUCAUGCAAAAUAGUGAACUAACUAAAGGAGGGCUAGUUGAUAUAUGCCUUUAGUUUGAUAACUAAGCUAUUGUAAAACAUAUUUAUUUUGUCAAUUAGAAAAACACAAUAAAGCUAGAUGUGAGCAAACACACAUAAGUCGAAGAAUGCAGAAUAUCCAACUAAAAGCACACAAACAAAAAGUACAAAAUGAAAAAUUCCAGGGUAAACCAAGGCCUCUCUUGUUUCUCAAGUGGCUCUGCCACUGCGAUAAGACAUAUGUUAUUAUACAAGUGGAAGGAAAGUUUUUUUUUUUUCCAUCAAGUGUCCCUCCACUUGUAUAUAACAUAUGGCGUAUGUGACCGUGUUUUGGACUCACUAAAAAAAGUUAUCAAUUUGUUGAAUAUUAAACUUGCCAUAUUAUUGAAGGGAUUAGGAUAAGCUUUACUUCAUGCUGGUGUAGAAAGUUGGAGAGCCAAAGAAAAAUCAAAAGAAAAAAGGAGGGAAAAAAAGGAAAUUAGAUGCUCCACAUAAUCAGUAAUCACCUCCCCUUUUGGUUGAGUCUUUUGACUUAAAAAAACAGCUAAACCGUUCCCAUUUUUGUGGGUCAUGAUUAAAGGGCUAUAUCUGGAAAGAUAUUCCUAGAAUUUAGAAUCCCAUGUAUCUCCAGAUCUCUUGAUCAAAUGGUCUAGGAAUGCCCAUCACAAAACUUGUGCAUCAAUCAAACCGCAGGAUUUGGUUGAUUAAUCCAAAAUUCAAGUGAUUAAACUAAACUUUGCGCUUAAGAGGGCCAAGAUAUGAGGAGCACAUGCAUCUCUGUGGGCAAUGUAACACAGUAGAAAAUGGGCAUGCAUGAUACCUUUUACUUCACAAGGAUUUUGCAGUAAUAUCUGCCACAGAAUCCGGCCCUAAAUUUGAGCUGGGCAAGGCAUGGCUCCCAUGUGGGGUAUACUAGAAGCACGUAAAAAGUCAAGGACAUUUUGGGUAGCAUGCGUGAAAUCUUUGAAUCUGGCAAAAUCAUGUCAACUAUCCGACCUUGUACUACUUGACGCAUACCAAAACAAAGUUGCCCUAAGGCUGCAGAUUAUGAGCAAUUUGAAUGCGGCAUCUCGUAAAGAGCAAGGAGAAGAACUUCUAUAUCGCAAACAAUUUACUAUAAUAAUAUUUUAAGAUAGUCAUCAUUUUUUUUAGUACAUUGAUAUUUUUACAUUAAGAGGAAAUAGAGUUCGGCUAAGUUAUAUAAUUGACAGCCUAAUUUGGUAUCAAAUUCGCCAUUUACAAGAUUCAAACUUAAGAUUUCUCACUUCCAAGUAAAAAUGAAUACCACUGGAUUAUAGUAAUUAAGUUGUAGAUAGUAAAAUUGAAAAGUUGGAAGAGAAUACAGGGUCGGACAGUUUAUGUGAUCUGAUUGCCAGAUUCAAAGAUUUCCCGCAUGCUAUCCAAAAUGCCACGACCUUUUAAGUGGUCCUAGUAUACCAGCAAUUGUAGUUAAUCAUUGUUUUAUAGUAAAAAUAAUAGGUAAUUAACAAUAUUUUAUUAAGAUAAACAAAAUGAUAGUUGAUAAUUAAUAAUUAAUUCCAAAGGACUGCAGCACAAAGUAAUCUAUCUAUACUAUUAUUAAGAAAACCAUCCUUGUCAACUUUUUUUUCUUUUUUUUCUAUUUGAACCUCACUUUUGAUACACAAUAUUGACAAAAAGGAAGGCAAAAUAGUAAUUUUGUACCUUUUGACAAAAUGACAAUCAUAUCCCUAUUUUUCCUAUUUUAUCUUUUUUUUUUUUUAGAUGAUGACAAUCAUAGUUUCCAAUUUUACCUUCAUUUUUUAUACACAAUAUUUACAUAAAAAUGAUAAAACAGUAAUUAUAUAAUAUUAAAAAAAAUAUGCAUUUAUUAAAAAAAUUGUUCACACACACAAAAAAAAAUUGCGCUCUAUGCUAGUAAGUAGUAACUAAUGAAACAAAUAUUUAAACCGAAAAAUUAAAUAAAAUUAAGAUGAUGACGUGAUGCUCCCUCAUCUAUAGAAUUGGUCCAAUCCAGUUGGACUUGGACAUGUUCGAAGCAUGUUACUGGACAGCUUCAUAUGGUGUGUGACGCGCGUGACACCUCAUUGUCGGUCGCAUUUUCCAAUCAUAUGGACCCCACAAAACUGCUGACGAGGACCAGGAGCGUCGGCCACACGUUGUCCACGUGGAUUUGAUGGCUAAAGCUGCUUCGCAAGAUUUCAAUUCUUUCCUCUAUUUUUCCUUUUUAUGAGAGGAGAAUUCCUUUGCUUUAUUUGUCGACGUGGAAUUCUCAAAUGUGUGAAUUGACACAAAAAAAAAAAUAUUAAAAUGUGUGAUAAGACUCUCCCGUUUAUAGCUGGUUUUCUAUAGUACCAAUUGUUGCUUUAUUGAAUUUGUUUUGUUAAUAAACUUGUGAUUUGACUUUGAUUGUAUUUUUAAAUGCAAAUUCAAACUCAAGUAUAAAAAUUAUUCAUAAUUUCCAUAAUUAAUUAAUUCCAUAAACCUUCCUUCUAAACGUUAUAAAAUUAUCCCCUAUCAAUACUAUUUUGCUAACGUAUUAAUUAAUUAAUUCUACCUUAUUUGUUUUGAUUGGAUUAAUAAUUAUAUACCUUAUUAGUUUUUGGAACGAAAGAAACCAAUUUGCAAUUUUUUUUUUUAAAAAAAAGUUUAAAAGGGAGAGAGGGUUGCCAGAAAACUAUGACUCGUUCAAAAGUGUUUUUUAAAAUAGCUGAAAGCACUUUUAUUGAAAAUGCUUCUGAAACCAAUUUUUAGUAAAAUAAUAAAAUGACAAGUGAAUCCUAAAAAAACACUUUAUUGUUUCAGCAUGAAUCACAUAACUGAUGCUUGUUGUAAUAAAUAAUUUAUGUGUUUUUUAAACCUAAAAAUAUCUUCUUUAAAAUUUUUAAUUAUUUUAAAAGUAAUUCUAAACAAGGCCUUAAUUUGCAAUUGUUAAUUACCAUUAAAAAUGAAAUAAAAUGAAAUAAAUAGUAAUUAUCAGGCGCGUUUUGAGAAACCUUCCUGCAAGUUGUAACCCUCCGGACUUUCCAGCGUAUACGACUUUGAUUUUACAUCUUUUCCCCCUCUACCCCUUUCCUUUCUGUAUAAGGUAAGCAAACCCAAUCUGCUCCUACGACAGCUACUAUAAAACACCAAACCCCUCCCUCUCCAAAAACCUCUCUCACCUUCUCCUUUUUCUCCAUCGAUAUUUAUGUUGGUUGUUGAAUCCGAUCAUAUAUCAUGAGCAAUAUUCCGAGAUCGUUAACCGACUCCGCCCUAACCCAGUUCAACCUCACCAUCUCCGCUUCCGAUCCGUGGCCGUUUUCUUUCGUCUUCUUAUAACCCUAACUCAACAACUUCAAGUUUCUCCAGUGUUUUCUUGCUCUCUAGGGUUUUCUGAUUUUCGGGUUUUUCGAGUUUUCGAAAAGAUGGGAUUUAUCGCCGCCGACAGGCCCAGCAAGCACAACCACCUGAACUUCCACCUCCACUUCCCCCACCUUCUCCACCACCACCACGACAAGAACAGCAAGGAGCUCAAAGAUAUUCCGAAAGGCUGUAUGGCUGUGAUGGUGGGCCAGGGGAAGGACCAGCAGAGGUUUGUUAUUCCGGUGGUCUACAUCAACCACCCGCUCUUCAUGCAGCUGCUGAAGGAGGCGGAGAAGGAGUACGGAUUCGAUCACAAAGGUCCGAUCACUAUUCCUUGCCAUGUGGAGGAGUUUCGCACCGUUCAAGGCAUGAUCGAUAGGGAGACUUCGUUCCACGGCCAUCAUCAUCAUCAUCACCAUCACAACCACCACCAUCACCAUUAUGCCUGGUGUUUUAGGGUUUGAUUUAUUAAUUGUGAAGAUUAUUAAGUAGAUAUAGGUUUCUUAAUUUCAGUUUAUUAAUUGUGAGCGAGGCAUUGGAUUCUUUUCUAAUUCUUUGGGACCUCAUAAUAUUAUUAAUUUGUUUGGAUUUCUUGUAUGAUGUCUUAUGGAUUAUUGGAUGAUUUUUCAUGAUAAAAAAUCGAUGGAUCAUCAUCGUCAUCUUAUGUAUGAUUUUUGGGAAUAUUCGUUUGGAGACGUAAUCUUUUUCUUUAUUCUUGUUGUUGAUGUGAAAUGAAUAUAUAAAAGUGGGAAGGAAGUUGCUGGUUGCUGGUUGUUGGAGAUAAGAAACUACACAAACGUAUAACACACGGUUCAAAACAUCAAGGGUGUGUGCCUUUGGAGAGAUUUUUAAUGUGCCCGCAACGCUAGUGGCAUGAUGUUAUAAUACAAAUAGAGGAAAAAGGUUUUUUUUUUUUUUUUUUUCAAGUGUUCAUCUACUUGUAUAAUGACAUCUUGCUUGGAGAAAUUUUUCAGUGUACUUGAAAUACGGUCCAAUGACACUUGGUGAACCCACCAAUGACACUUGGUGAACCCACCGUAGUUCCGGCACCCUAAAAAAUCUCUCAUUAAAGGCUUACUCACACCCAUUAGGUUUUGUUGAAGAUUUUGAUUUUUAUAUGUUGGAUUAUAUUUGAAAUUUUCCUCCACAACUUUGGAUCUCAUCGUGACAACUGAUAUAGCCGUAUUUUUCUCCACUUAUAACAUUGCUCUUAAUCUUAUCCUUCAUACUUGAGUUAUACUUCGAAAUUGUAAAUUAACUUUGAAGAGUUACUUGGGAUGAUGAGUCAUACUCAACGAAUAUAUUACGUCAACUUGAAUAUUAAUUGUUUCAUUUUUAUAAUUAUAUGACCUGCUCAUUUAGCAUUUAUAAAUAAAAGUGUGAAGGCAGCACAAAUUAAUAUUUUGAAAUUUUGAUCCAAUCAUUUGAUUUCGUCUACCUUCUGCAUUCCACCGCUGCCCCAUGCCUUGUGGAAGAUUGGUCGUUUAUUUCUCAUGUGAAAUGUCAAGUGUUUUUUGAAACAGUCCAGUUUGGGCAUGUAGACAUGCCCCUCUUUCAAAGGUCACCUGAGCAACAUUUCUUAAUUUGAUAUUACUUGAUAAGGUCAAUUGUUACCCUAAGUAAACGAGUAGCGUGAUUGUUGGCAAGUUGGAAAGACUUUUGCAUAUGGCUGCAUAAUAUAAUAAAACCUGACAUAUAUCAAUUAUUGUCCAAUUAUAUACACUGAUGAUUGAACUGAGAUCUUUUUUGGAUUUCUGUGUCUAAAGCCAACGGACUCUAAGAUCCGGACUAUUCAUUUUGAAUCUUGCAGUUCUCGUUUGCUCAUUCUACUAGCCCACCGUUUAUAAACUAAUGGUCUAGAUCUCUCUUUCUCUCUCUUUAACGGUGCGAAUCUCUAAGUCUUUGAACUCCAGACAUAGAUAUUAAGAAAACAUCUCGAUUCCUCAUUAGUAAUUAUGUGACAGUGUGACUAUUGCAUCUCGGCUAAGGAGUGCCGCAUGCCGCCGAUCAUAGGCAAGAACCACGCCAAUUCGCCAAGGAGAGGUUUAUUGUAUGUUUGUUUGACUUUGAUCAAAAGGCCAGCCACUGACCAAGUACAACCCAUCCCGCCAACACGAAACUUUGAUCGUAAGCAAACGUAGAAAUGUAACCAAUAUUUUAUGGAAUUAAAUUAUAGAUAAACAUAUUGACACCAUUGGAUUGAUGAAAAUUAAAGGGAAUUUAAUUAUCAUCGCGUUUUAAAUAAAAAACUUAAUUAGUAACUCUUACAGUUCUUACUUUCAACAGUUAUUUUUGUAGAUUUUCAAAUAUGGCUCAAUUUUAAUUUUUUUAUAAAUUAAAACUAUGUCUGUGUUAGUUUAUCUUAUGUUGUCAUCGGUCUCAAGCCCAAAUAAUGAAGGAGGGCGAGUGUCAAGUAAUCAACAUGCAUCACUCAAUUUUUCACGUCGAAUCCAAAUCUAAAACAAAAUUAAGCUAAAACUAGAUCGUCACUCGGAGAUGAUGUGAUGUGGCGUCAAGGCACAAUGAUAAGUAAGCAAGGAUCACCAUAUCUCCAUUGGGCGCCCAGAUGCAAUGUAAACGGGCCAAUCGCGAAAACAAUCAUAAGUUUCAAAAGUUUCGCAACAUGAAGCUUGAAGAAGUGAAAUUAUAAUGCAAAGCAUUCUUCUAAACUUACACUUGUAAACAUUAAUAUUGGAAUGUCUUUACAAAACUCUGUAACCUUACCUUCAAAGGAUUGGAACACAAAAAUAACCCAUACAAAUGUAAAUGCAAAAGCUUUCUUCGAUAGCAUUGCCUCUACCAUCGUAGCGGUCGCAACUGGCACGAAGAUGUCGAUGCGUUUUCAAGGGUCUUGAACAAAUUCUUCUGCAUAAAAUCUCUCAAAUUAUUGACAUGGACCUAUAUCUCUUCACUCACAACCUGACACUCCAUUUUCACCUUCACUCGCCAAAGGGGCGGACAAGGUUCUCAAAGAAUUCAAAACACUGUUGGUAAAUUUUUGAAGAGAACAUUAUAUAUCCCGGUUUCAUUUAUGGACGUCUAGGAUUGGAACUACGCACUGUCACACCAUGCAAAAAUUUGGUGUAUCCAAGGAGCGUAAGUUUUCUGUCUGAAGGUCGGAUCCAGUCAUUGAGUAAUUGAUAAGAUGUAGGACCAAGAUUCAUUUCCUGCAUAACGUUUUAUUUUUCUUCAGUUAGCUGGUAAUCAUUUGACAAACUGAUCCAGUUACUUGGUUCCAUGUGAUAUUUUGAAAGUGACAUGUACACAAGCAAGACAAAAGACUGAUGUGCAUACCUGUGCCAACUCCUCAACAGAGAUGACCCGGUUUCCUUCAUUUUCGAAAUGCUCAAACGCCGUACUUGCAAUCUUCUCCCAUCCUUCAUGAGCUUCUAGCUGAUAUGAACUUAUUGCAGCGACGCAGAACUCUUCGAAGUCCAAUUUCUUGUGUGAGAGGGGUUCCAUCUUGAAUUAAAAACUAGAAUAUGAGUAUAUGCCUCAUGCAAAAGCCAAAAUUAAAGAAAUAAAAUGAAAAAUUGUAUUGGAAAAAUGGUUUUGUUUAUCAAUUCUAUCAAUUCUAUGAAGGCUGUGUUUGUCAAUAGAAAAGACAAGCCAGCAAUGAAAAAGUCAGAGAAGAUAACAAACUCUAGACCAAAAGUUCUAGAAUCCUCCAACAUUAAGAAAAAAAAGGUGUGUUCUCUUUGUUUCAUUAAAUAUAACCAUACAGAAAAAAACGCUAUUCCGCCUGACCUAUCUCACAAUAUCCAACAGUGUGCAUUUUAUAUUAAAGUUUUAAACAAAAAGCAAUUACGCAAGUUUCAACUUUGCAUAGGAAUCUACUAUACAUGAAAUUAGCAAACAAAUUUGGGACCAUUCCACCAUUGAAAUCAAAGAACGUGAAGGCAUCAAGAUCGCUUACCAAAUUUAUAAUGUCAUAAACCCUUGACAUCUUCAUGGCAUCAGUUGAAUUUUUCAUGAGGGCCUGGAAUAUUCUUCACGAUAAGUUGAAAAAGUCAUGAAAAAACAAUGAAGAUAAAAUAAUUUGAAACAUCUAACUAUAGUAGAGAUAUUGAAUUGCCCUAUUAUAACACGUCCAUAGAUAAUACGGGUCCAAAAUGGGAUCCUAAAAUGUAACAAAAGAAGUAUUGUUAAAGCAAUAAGAACUCUGACUAACCGUUCUGAAAUUAUCAAGGGAAACACGUCCAUUUUUUGGACCCAAGAGCCUAAAUUGAGCCCUAAGAUAGAAGAGCUCGUCUUCUGUUAAAGCCUUGGAGAGAGCCUGUGAAUAACAAAAUAUGUCACCAACUUGCAAAGGAUGCCUUCUAAAAUCACAAAUGUGGGUUUGUGUGUUUGUGUGUAUGAAAGAUUGCAUUGCCCCAAAAGUAUGCCAUUCAUGCCUGACGACACCCCAGCUUGUUAGCUUUGAUUUUAAGUUGUUUCUUCUUUUUUCUUUCCAAUUCUUUCUUCACAUUUUGGGGGAUUUGGAGGGCAUGUUUUCUUGUGAAGGAAUGUUACCUUUAGUGCUGCACGCUUGAAGGGUGAGGACCGAACAUACGAUUUAACCAACUUGUAGAUUAAAAUAUCUAAAGGCACAUCAUGUUUUUCAUCUCGUAACCAUGGGUGAGCUGUGAACACAAGAAAUAGUUAUCAGGAUACCUCAACAGGAAAUAACUGUACAUGCCUCUAGCAGAGAUAUUUAGUGCAAUAUUAAGGAUGUAUGAAAUAUUUAAAACCAACUUACUUAAAGCUUGGGCAGCAGUCAUUCUUUUCCUGUGGUCCUUAUUCAGAAGCCUUUUAAGAAAAUCUUUGGCUUCUGAGGAGACUGAAGGCCAAGGAGAAUCAUCAAAAUUAGGAUCAGCUCUUAGCACUGAACGAAAGAUUCCUGAUUCAGUUCGUGCCCAGAAAGGUCUACUUCCACAUAGCAAUAUAUAUGUUAUGACACCAACACUCCACAUAUCUGCUUCGAGACUGUAAGAUCUAUAUAACACCUCAGGUGCAACAUAGUACGCACUUCCAACAAUAUCAUUGAGACGUUGAUCUGCACAUGUAAAACUAAAUGUUCUGUGAAAACAAUGCAAUGUUCAGAUAACUAAAGUCUCAUAAUUAGAUUGAUUUCUAAGGAGGGAAGUUUCAUUUCUCACACAAAUAUGCCAACAUAUCAGAAAGAAAAAAAAAAAAAAAAAAAAAACCCUCUUUGAAAAAGGUUAAAGAAAAUACUUCCAAUGAAACAAAUAGUUAUUGACGAUGCUUGGCAACACAAUAAAAAAUAAUAAUCAUAUAGGUAAGAACUUCAUGACAAGAAACAAUUAGCAGUUGCACAUCAUAUAUUGAAGCAGAAGUAUAGUGUGGAAAGCAACCAUUACCAGGCCUAAUAAGGUCAGAAAGACCAAAAUCAAUAACCUUCAUCCUCAUCUCUGAAAAGCAUUCUUCCUUCAUUAGUUCUUGUAUGUGAGAAUGAAAAAUAACGUGAACAUGAACAUCCACAAUUAUCUAACUGUUAGUUCAAACUUUCUUCUGAAUGUAGUACCUCUGGCUUUAGAUCACGGUGUACGACACCUUGGAGAUGACAGAAGGAAACAACGCUUAAAAUUUGCACAACAAUAGUUUUAGCAUCCUUUUCUGUGUAUCUUCCACCCCUGCCACAAAGUAGUGAUUAAGAAUAAAUCCUUUAACUCAUACAAUCCGAAAGUGCAAAUUACAAGUACAAUACAAGAAAGAAAAUACAGCAUUUCAUUCUACCUUGACAAAAUUUUAUCCAGUAGUUCUCCACCUUC
This 38971-nucleotide long non-coding RNA is filed under the name Malus domestica (apple). RNAcentral's name for it is "long non-coding RNA (MDOM_LNC001252)". The stretch from base 22195 to 22267 matches the Rfam family "mir-166 microRNA precursor family". The record is from RNAcentral. Lineage: Eukaryota; Viridiplantae; Streptophyta; Magnoliopsida; Rosales; Rosaceae.